Molecule: ribosomal RNA, 420 nt
Filed under: bacterium
Lineage: Bacteria
Description: partial 16S ribosomal RNA
Rfam family: Bacterial small subunit ribosomal RNA
Source: RNAcentral
UGGGGGAUAUUGCACAAUGGGCGAAAGCCUGAUGCAGCGACGCCGCGUGGGGGAUGAAGGCUUUCGGGUUGUAAACCUCUUUCGCUAUCGAACAAGGCCCGCUUAGGGUGGGUUGAGGGUAGGUGGAGAAGAAGCGCCGGCUAACUACGUGCCAGCAGCCGCGGUAAUACGUAGGGCGCGAGCGUUGUCCGGAAUUAUUGGGCGUAAAGGGCUUGUAAGCGGCUUGUUGCGCCUGCUGUGAAAACGCGGGGCUUAACUUCGCGCGUGCAGUGGGUACGGGCAGGCUUGAGUGUGGUAGGGGUGACUGGAAUUCCAGGUGUAGCGGUGGAAUGCGCAGAUAUCUGGAGGAACACCGAUGGCGAAGGCAGGUCACUGGGCCAUUACUGACGCUGAGGAGCGAAAGCAUGGGUAGCGAACAGG